AAACAUACUUAUAUAAUAACUUAAAUGGGUUUGAUAUUUACUCCCUUUAAAUUUAAAAAUGAUAUACUUAACCCCCUUACAUUAACAAUUUAAGUUAUUUUAAAAUGAAAAAGGCCAUACUGCCCCUAGUCAAUUUAAAUUAUUUUACAAGCCAUAAACAUCUAUGAAAAUGAAAUUGUUAAUUGUGAAUUUUAAAUCACAUAGUUGAAGUGCGACACCUGUGAAACAUUCUCCAUGCCCAAUUUGUCCUUGUAAAGAAUGAAGAGAAAAUUGAAAGAGUAAGGAUAAAGUGGGUAGCUCUCAAAGAGGAAACAUGAGCCGCUUUAACAACUUAAAAAAUGUAGAAAAUGUAUCCCUAAGUAUUUUAAAAUUGCCACAUGUAAAUAGAGAACCACUGUAAUAGUGACAGACAUUCUACCAAAAUUACUACACGUUAGCACAUACCACCACAAAAUAUCUUUUUAAUAGUCACAUGCACUAAAAAAAAAAAAAGGAGAUCAACUGAGCAAUCGCCUAAUUCGUCUUCAAUGAAGUUAGCAGUUCUCUCAAUCCAUUUGGCUCAUUUGAAACAAACCAAUUAGAAUACAUGACAUGCUUCAAUAGAGAUAGUGUCACAGAUGACAAAUGUCAAACCCUAAAGAGUUAAAAGGACUCAAGACGAGCAAGAACAUUCAAUAACAAUUCGUCACUCGUCCUAAAAGACAUAAAAAUAGCCUUAUGGACACUCACUUUGUAAGGUUAGGUUAGUCUCACAAAAAGGUAACUUUUUUCAUUCCCACAACACUCAAACUUUAUCUUGUUCAAGGGUUUCUUUGAAACCCAUCAAAUUCUCCAGGCUUCACCUGACUUGAUUGUCAGAGCGUUGUAAUUGACCAUCCUCGAAAUCACCUCUAACAGCUCCUUUUUUUUUUUUUUUUUUUCUUAUUUUAAGGAUUAUCCCUAUUCUAAUCAUCCUUGGAAAACUACCCUAAAGCAGCACAGUCUUCAUCAUUUGCCGAACCACCUCUCAAAGUAAAGCUCUCAUUAUGUUUUUAUAUUGCAUCAAAAUUAGACUAAAAUAAAAAUAUUAUGCAUGUGUUAUGACAAUGUUGUCUUUAAUAAGUUGAAUUGACUAUCUAAUUUGUGUAAUUUUUUUAUUUUCAUAUUUUCUUGGCUUAAAAUAUGAAACAUCUAAAUAAUUUGGGCAACACAAUACUUGAAGGUUUAAUGAAGCUUAUUUUAUGUGUUAUCAAAGAGAAUAUACUAUCUUACGUAAGAAAUAAAAUUAAUAUAAUCCGUGAUAUGAUGAAAAUGAAAUUAUCUUGUUAUGAAAAAAAAACUUUAAAAGAAAAUUCGAUAAAUAAAUAACUUAUGUUUAUGCCAAAAUUCUAAAUAAAAAUAAAUAAAUUAGGUUAAGUAGUUAAGGACAAUAUUAUCGUAACAUAUAAAUUUUUUUUUUUUAAAUU
RNAcentral lists this long non-coding RNA (1445 nucleotides) under Citrus x clementina. RNAcentral describes it as "Citrus clementina (C. clementina) long non-coding RNA (CCLE_LNC004656)". Lineage: Eukaryota; Viridiplantae; Streptophyta; Magnoliopsida; Sapindales; Rutaceae. The record is from RNAcentral.